UUAUCGGUAAAGAGUACCUGUACAACCAGACAGGCCAGAUUCUCAAGGAUUAUAAACAAGCUAUUGAGACCAAGGCUGAGGAAGAUCCUGUUCAGGAGGAUGAAGUCCUUACUGACUCCAUUGACAGUGUGGAAGACCUCACUGUCUCCACUGAGGGCUUGACUGCCACUGUUGGUAAUGCUGCUGUGGUGUUGGAAGAAACAACGACCUUGGUUACUUGAGCUACUGAUGCAUCCACUAUUACUGCGACAACAGUAACUGAGCGUUCUUCUAGACCCAUACUUCAUUUGCCAACAGAGGCAGAAUACCUUGAGAUGCAUGAGAAGGCUACCAAGCAACCUGGUCUGGGCCUGCUGAACACCCUCAACCGACUGCAACAAGUGUGCAAAAAGAGCCCUCUGCAAAGUCUAUCAGACACAGCGCACCUGCUUGCGAUACUGAUACUGUUGGACCAGAUGACAUCCCUUGAUAUGACAAGGUUGUGGCCAUGGCUUAGUUCUUCGUGUACAUCCGUGACUGCGGAGCACUGACCAACAGCCAGGUUGACGAGGUUGUUGAGCUGUGGGAGGCCGACAAACGGCCGACAGUCUUCCCAGAACGCUUUCCCUCCCACCUGAAAGGCAGGUUUCGAGCCACGAAGAGAAAAGUUGCUCCAGGCAUCGAAGCCACCCAAAAAUGUUUACUUGGACCCAACACUGGAGCAGCAAGUUUCCGGGACUGCAACCGAUACAGGGAGGCAACCAUUAUCCGUCUUUUGAGUGUUUUCCCCUUCAAAACAAACAGCGAAUUUCCAUGGUGUCAAAGGCGUAUGAAAACAUACGGAAUUUGAUCCAUGGAAAUUCCAGAGUUGCCAUGGAAACUAAACUCCAGCUGCCUCAACUAGGCCAGGGAACUUUCAUACAAUGGCUCUGGAUAGGCUGGUUCUUAACCAGGGUGUGAACAGCCUCCACAGACAGCCACCUACAGUCUACUUCCUCCGCGAACCCAACCCCAGCAACUGCCUUCUGGGCAAACAGACGCCCAUGUCUUCCAGUGCCCAGUCAACACAGCAGGGACAGCCAGCAUCAAACAGCGCCACCAUCUUGACACGCCAGUCCCUACGGUGUCUGCUGCUACAUGUACCAACACCAUCGAUCCCCCCAAUGCCCCAACCUUUGGUAAUAAUGGUUACACCAAGUUGUAGUGUACCUUUGGCCUCCUCUUGCUUCGCUAUGGAUGUGUCCUAUACUACUCAGCAGUAUAGGAAGCGGAAGAUAAAACAAGAGCAGUUGGGUGUCCAUACCAGAAAAGACACAAAAAAAAUCAGAUAAAAUUAUGUGUAAGAAGUGUGGACUGGAACGUACCAGUGCCAUCCAUAGGCAGUACUUUGGUAACUGGUACUGUUCAACCACUGCCACAACAUCUUUUGAGGAUUGGAAAGAGCUACUCAUGGAUAGGGGCUAUGGGAGGAAGAAAGAUGAGUGACGAUGUUUGUGUUUGUGAAAUAUUGAUUAUUCUUUUCACAUAUGUGCAAAAUACUUUUUUGUUUGUGCAAAACUGAAAACGACAGUGCAUUUAUUGUUGAUUACUGAUAGUGACAGUUUAUUGUGUGUCAAAUACUGAUAGUGACAGUUUAGUGUGUGUUCAAAACUGAAAGUGACAGUGUAUUGUGUAAUCAAAACUGAAAGUGACAGUGUAUUGUGUGAUCAAAACUGAAAGUGACAGUGUAUUGUGUGAUCAAAACUGAAAGUGGCAGUGUAUUGUGUGAUCAAAACUGAAAGUGACAGUUUAUUUUUUGUGAAGUACUGAUAGUGACAGUUUUUAUUUUGUGUAUGUACCAUUAUCAGUGACAGUGAGAGCAAUGACAAAAAACACUAAACUUUGAAGCUGCCUGAUAAAAAAUGAUGUUUUACAUUAUUUUUAACAGAAGGUUCCAAGCCCUUGUAAAAGCAGAGGAGAAUUUUAUUUAAAGUUAUGUCUUCUGUUCAACAACACAACUUCCAUAGUGUAAUGGUAACACGUUUACUCUCACAGUGAAAGAUCCUGGUUCAAAUUCUGGUGGAAGUCAAAAGUUGGACAGAGACAUUUUUUUCCAUUUAUAAUACUUACAUACAAAUUAAUUUAAGAAAUCUAAUAGCAAUAACAUAUCUGAGUAACACAGUAAUUAUACAGCAUAAACCUGUUAUGGAUUGUAAUACUCUUAUUUUCAAAGAAUUUUUAUAGAUCUAAUAUUCAAAACGGGUUUGGAAAAUGACAGUCAAAAAGGUUAAUAUAAGA
Dreissena polymorpha is the source of this 2256-nucleotide long non-coding RNA. RefSeq lists it as uncharacterized. The transcript is spliced from 4 exons. The record is from RefSeq and is a predicted model, not a curated record. Lineage: Eukaryota; Metazoa; Mollusca; Bivalvia; Myida; Dreissenidae.